UACGUAGGGGGCUAGCGUUGUCCGGAUUUAUUGGGCGUAAAGAGCUCGUAGGCGGUUUGUCGCGUCUGCUGUGAAAUCCCGAGGCUCAACCUCGGGCCUGCAGUGGGUACGGGCAGACUGGAGUGCGGUAGGGGAGAAUGGAAUUCCUGGUGUAGCGGUGGAAUGCGCAGAUAUCAGGAGGAACACCGAUGGCGAAGGCAGUUCUCUGGGCCGUAACUGACGCUGAGGAGCGAAAGCGUGGGGAGCGAACAGG
Molecule: ribosomal RNA, 253 nt
Filed under: uncultured bacterium
Lineage: Bacteria
Description: partial 16S ribosomal RNA
Rfam family: Bacterial small subunit ribosomal RNA
Source: RNAcentral